This is a non-coding RNA of Podarcis lilfordi (Lilford's wall lizard), 149 nucleotides long. The record is from the annotation of a GenBank genome assembly. NCBI's taxonomy places the organism in Eukaryota, Metazoa, Chordata, Lepidosauria, Squamata, Lacertidae.
GUGCCUCUAUUUUAUCUAUCUAUCUAUCUAUCUAUCUAUCUAUCUAUCUAUCUAUCUUACCAAACAAUGAUUCCCCAAAAAGGUCCAUAGAUGAUAGAUAGAUAGAUAGAUGAUAGAUAGAUAGAUGAUAGAUAGAUAGAUAGAUAAUC